AUGAUUGUGAGCUGUAGUAGGGUCAAUGUUUGUACGGAAUAUUUUUUUUCUGUUUCUAACAAUUUGUAUUAGAUAUUUAGGGCCAUGUGUACGAAUCAAACUUUUUUGAUUCUAGUCGCGUCUAUCAUGCAUUUUCUCGUCGUUCCAUAUUGAUUGUCAUUGUGAAAAAAAUCAUAGGGCCAUGUGUACAAAACUGUCAUCGCCGUUUUGAAGAUAUUUAUGCCAAACCCAAUUUUUCUUGCGUUAUCUUCUGUACUUAUGUGACAGAUUAAUUACAGGAUUCCAGGGCCAUGUCUGACUUUGUUUUUGUAAAAAAUCUUUCCAAUUUUAUUAUGCCAAAUUAUUUAGGGCCAUGUGAAGUAGUGUAGAGAUCUUCUAUUCCUCCGUUCUGUAGAGAUUUCUGCAAUUAUUUUGAAAGCUGCUUGUGCAUUCAUCCCGUCUUGAGUGCGAAUCAUCGUGUAAUACACUCUAGGGUCAUGUGUUAAGUAUCCAUAGCUAUUUUGAAGCUUAAAAAAAGCUCAAAUGUUGGAUCUAAGUUUUCUUGUAUACUCUGUAUAUUCCUCACCCGCUGUAACUUCACCGUUGUUGAUGGAGUGAAAUACUCUAUAAGGCCAUGUUUAAGAAUCUACUAUUUGUCCAUGUGACAGAAGUUUUCUUGGAGAUUUAGUAUUGUUUAAAAAAAGCUCUACAUGUAUAGGGCCAUGUGCAGAUCUUACAGAUUCAUUGAAACAUGUAGCGGUCGUAAAACGUAAUAAGAAUGACGGUUUCAACGAUUCCACGAUUAUUUUGUGACAUGAAAUAGUCUCUUAUCCUUGUCGAAACGUGUCUUAUGGACAUGAAGUAUUGUUUGUGAUUUGUUCUUCCAUAAUAUCCGUUUCGCAAAGAUCGAUAAUUGCCUUUUGUGUUAGGGCCAUUGUGUCAACUUUGUUUAUUGUAAAUCAGGUGUAAUAUGAUACCUGUAGCGUCGGAUACACCUUGUAAUCGCUCUGUAAAGUGUAUAGCCUGAAUUUACAGGAUGAAACAAUGUGCAUUAAUUAAUUUAACAACCACAACAGCAGUGGAAGAUUUGAUCGAUGGUACAUUUGAAUUCUGAUAAGUCCGAUCACAGCUGGUCGGCAAUGUGAAUGUUAUAAGAUGGAAUUUUGCGUCGGGGUGAUAUAAAUCAAAUUAGGUUUUGCCCUUCACCGACGUUUUUAAACACCGUGAAUGUUGUUUCCCUUUGAACCGCGUUGCGCGUCAGUGGAUGCGCGUUGCUUUUGCGCAAACUGGAAUAUCAUCUUCGCGACCAGUAGGCCAAAUUAUCUAUUUAGAAUAACCUAACCUUUCAUUCUCAACGGUUGAAUCCAUUACAGUGGUCAGGUAAGGGCCACUAAUUGGAUUAUUUUCACUGUCUGUAUGUAAGAUGCUUUGUAUCCAAUUAGAGAUCUAAGUAGCGUAGACCUAAAGUAGGUUUCUCCUUUUUUUUCUCUAUGGUUGUAUCUUUAUAGUGGUCAGGUAACGACUACUAAUAUACGUUUCCUUCUCUUUAUACCACAGCACCGGUCACAAAUUUGAUCAGAAAGCCACUGAACAUUGUAGUUAUAAAACCUAGCUCCGCUAGGAAGACUUCUUUUAUUUUCAGCAACUUGCAAUUAGGUUAGGAGGACCGGCAAGCCGGAGUGCUCAUGUCAGGAGCUGCUGACACGGAGGAACCGGAAGCAGGGAGGAGGAACACCGAAUGACUGAAGACCCUGCUUGCUGGGCAUCCCAUUACUGAUUUCCCAGAGAUGACGGUCUGCAAGAUGAGAUGCCAUUCUGGACGAAGAUAAAAUCACUUUUGAAUCCCAAGGAACCGGAAGCAGGGAGGAGAACCGACGGAAGGACUGAAGACCCUGCUUGCAGAGCAAGUCUUCACCAAUUCUUGAGAUUCCUCUUGUUUCGUGUAAGCAGCAGAGAUGAUGACAAUAUACAUAACGGAGUGCAGUAGUUCACCAAGGCAGGAAGAUGAAUUUUGGCAACACUCGACUGAGUUUUACAAUAGCUAGAACCUGAAAAGUUCCCAUAAGUUUCUCUUAAAAAGUCGUCACAUUUUAUUAAUCCGAGGUAUGUAUAAAGACACCAUCCCAUUCAAAAUCCUUCCGAAAACCUGCUGGAUAGAUUUAAAAAGCUGUAUAUGUCAACUUAUUUAAUCAAUAGGUUUAAGUCCUACCUAAGUGGUCGUAGUCAGUCUGUGAAUAUCGAGGGCAACAUUUCAAAGGUACCGCCACUAAAAACGUUAAUGUUCCGUAGGCUAGGGGUCGAUCUUAUGUCCACUUUUAUUCAUUAUUUAUUCUGGUGAUCUAACAUCUUGUAUCCCUUGUACAACGUAUUAGUCAUCGGUGAUAUUUCUGUCAAUAUCACACUAGUUAAAAAAUGCGCUGAUCUACGGAGUUAUAAACUUGGUCACUGUUGCCAUGCACGGAAACUUCCCGUGUUUUUUCCACAAAUUUUCGCGGGGUUCUGCCCAUCCCGCAAUCGGCAAUUCGUGCCUUAUACUGGAAUGUUUAACAUGCAUUUUUACAAGCUUUAUUUGAGUAAAAAAAAAUGGUGAAGAAGUCGUGUUUGUCAGUAUUUGUCUGUUUCACAUGUGCACUUUUCCUUGUAAUUUUAGUUUGAGUAAGUUAUUUUAAAAAAUGAAUGCAGGGCCCCAAUGGAAACCCAUUUCAAACUGUUUAGGCGUACCCUUGGUAAAGAAAUGUAAUAAAUAAAUUAAUAAAUAGAUAAACAGAGGAUCAGAAAGGAAAUCAUCAGAUUUUCCAAUUUAUAGGUUAUGGGUUGUUAUUUAAAUCCCGCAAAUGGGGGAAAUGUGAUCAUUCAUUUUUCGCCCGUUCCAAGUCCAUUUUAUAGUAGCUUUCAAAUUAUCAAAUUGUUCCUCGUAUGCACAUUUAUACACUCGAUAUUUUAUUUUCUUCUCUUCAUAAUGUCAUGAUUUUAUAUAAUAAAUAUUUGAAGAGUUUA
This 2976-nucleotide long non-coding RNA is filed under the name Patiria miniata (bat star). Its description in RNAcentral is "uncharacterized LOC119742424". The record is from RNAcentral. Lineage: Eukaryota; Metazoa; Echinodermata; Asteroidea; Valvatida; Asterinidae.